UGAGGAAUAUUGGUCAAUGGGCGCGAAGCCUGAACCAGCCAAGUCGCGUGAGGGAGGACGGCCUACGGGUUGUAAACCUCUUUUGCCGGGGAGCAACGGGCGUCACGUGUGGCGCCACUGAGAGUACCCGGAGAAAAGCAUCGGCUAACUCCGUGCC
Molecule: ribosomal RNA, 157 nt
Filed under: uncultured bacterium
Lineage: Bacteria
Description: partial 16S ribosomal RNA
Rfam family: Bacterial small subunit ribosomal RNA
Source: RNAcentral